Molecule: long non-coding RNA, 1007 nt
Organism: Achroia grisella
Lineage: Eukaryota; Metazoa; Arthropoda; Insecta; Lepidoptera; Pyralidae
Exons: 3
Source: RefSeq, a predicted model, not a curated record
UUGACUGGAUCGAAUCAAGUGGCGAAGAAUUAUCAAAUCACCUACAUGCCAUACCUACCGAUUUACAGUUUACUAGCACUACGAAAAAGAAAAUAAGUGAUUUUACUUUAUUCUUGAAUGAAGUGUCCUGUAUUACACACUAUUAUAUUUGUUCGAUGAUACGCACAUGCUAUAGUCUGAAAUUAUCCAUGUCUACAAUCUCAAAUUUCAGUUGUUUAUGAUAUUACACUUUUGAUGGUGGCUGAUUGCGUCCCGGGUAUUGACGUUUAUUUCAUGUAUCUACAUAGAAACUUAGCUUUCUAAUGUUGUUUGUGUACGCUAAUCAUGGGCGUGUUGUCUAGAAGUGAAUAGUAAAAAAUAUCAACUGUAAUAGUGCAACUGUGGUUAUUUAUUAUGUGAUAUGAGUUUGCAUUGAUGUGGCAAACCGGAUUACACCAAGCUGGAGAAAACGUGACGCUGUUGUAAGAUGGGCGAUCGCGCACAACUACCGGGCGGCGUUUUGCCAGCGUCGGGUGACAUGUGCGACUCCAAGCUCCAGAAAUUCGGCAAGCACCCUUUAGUCCGUUUACAAGAACGAGUAUAUACAUGUCGUUGCUGCGAUUAAUGAACAGAUGUAACGAUCAUCCAAAUUGCUAAUAAAAAAUAAAAAAUUGGAACGGUGCGGUUUGCCAUUGACAGAUGGAAUUCUGUUCUUGCUUGUUAGUAAGUUUAACCUAGGGCUUUUCAAGUCAAUGUAUAGUAGACUUUUACUGUGUUUGUACAUAACACCAGAUCUUAAAUGUUGAGUAGUGUGUUAUUUGAAGUUUUAUCUGAAGAAGUCUAUAUACAUACAAUGAGCUUUUUCUACGAAUAAGAUUAAUUAAAUAAAUCUGUAGAUUGACUAUGAAAAACUCUGGCUAAAACUUCGUGACCUAGACAAAACAUAACCUAAACUGAAAUAGUUAGUAUAAACGAUCAUGAUGAAGUUUUAUGAGAGUGAUUUAUUUUUUGAGACUAUAGAAUGGGUA